This 481-nucleotide ribosomal RNA is filed under the name uncultured bacterium. RNAcentral's name for it is "partial 16S ribosomal RNA". It matches the Rfam family "Bacterial small subunit ribosomal RNA", at positions 28 to 507 of the family's 1533-position model. The record is from RNAcentral.
GAUGAACGCUGGCGGCGUGCUUAACACAUGCAAGUCGAACGAAGCACUUUAUUUGAUUUCCUUCGGGACUGAUUAUUUUGUGACUGAGUGGCGGACGGGUGAGUAACGCGUGGGUAACCUGCCUUGUACAGGGGGAUAACAGUUGGAAACGGCUGCUAAUACCGCAUAAGCGCACAGCAUCGCAUGAUGCAGUGUGAAAAACUCCGGUGGCAUAAGAUGGACCCGCGUUGGAUUAGCUAGUUGGUGAGGUAACGGCCAACCAAGGCGACGAACCAUAGCCGACCUGAGAGGGGGACAGGCCACAUUGGGAAUGAGACACGGCCCAAACUCCUACGCGAGGGAGGAGUGGAGAAUAUUGCACAAUGGGCGAAAGCCUGAUGAAGCGACGCGGGGUGAGCGAAGAAGUAGUUCGGUAUGUAAAGCUCUAUCAGCAGGGAAGAUAAUGACGGUACCUGACAAAGAAGCACCGGCUAAAUACGUG